GGACCAGACAGACACAUUUGUAUGGAGGAG
This 30-nucleotide non-coding RNA is filed under the name Rattus norvegicus (Norway rat). The record is from RNAcentral. Lineage: Eukaryota; Metazoa; Chordata; Mammalia; Rodentia; Muridae.